CCCAGAUGUGCACUUUUCGUAUCGCGAGGCAAAACAUAAAAAAGGACGACUCGAAAAGUCUGUACCGCAUUUCCAUGCCACACCGUUGCGACAGGAACGUCAUGCAUCAAACAGCUUCCCUUUCUCUCCUAGGAAUGAUAAGUGAUGCGAGAGUCAAAAGUCCAAACAAUAUUUACGACUCCGGUUCAUUGGCGUUCGAAUGUCUCGGAGAUUUUUCGGUUACGUAGAAUUAGUAUAUUCCACGCGAGAAAAAAUUCAGUGACUGGCAUAUAGUACUUUCUAUAUUAUUUUCUAGAAACUCACGCUCUUUCAUUUUUUUUUUUAGGCACGUCAAAUGCAGUAACUCGUUGCCAAAAGCGUUUACCUCUCGAGACGUGGAAUUGACAUUCUAAACGUACGGAGCGUCGAAGGAUUUCGGAACGACUUCACUACCAUCUCGCGCAUUACGCAAAAGUAAACACAGCCGAGCCAGUGACGCGAUGUCGAUCGAUUUUAUUAUCGCUCGGUAUUACGUAUCCCGACUGUGUACCGGUCAUGUAAACAGAAAUGUCCGAAAUGCCAGCAAUGUCGGAAAUCUUGACACGCUUCAAUGAGCCUAUCUUUCUUAAGCGCAUGGUGUUAUGGAUUCGGAUAUGACAAUAUUACCAGGGGAAUAAUCACGACUCUUAACAGUCAUAAGCUUCCAGUGGUGGUGCGGGACCCUUGGACGAACUACUCAUAUUAAGAGGAUCGAAUGGACGUCGACUACUGCUAGUAUAUCCAGCACCUCGCACGGCGGUCAUCGGAC
Molecule: long non-coding RNA, 787 nt
Organism: Orussus abietinus
Lineage: Eukaryota; Metazoa; Arthropoda; Insecta; Hymenoptera; Orussidae
Exons: 3
Source: RefSeq, a predicted model, not a curated record